UCUCUCUCUCUCUCUCUCUAGAGAUUGCAGAGAGUCGUCUAGGUCGCCACGCCUCCACUACCUCCGUAAAACCCCCCAACACCCUCCCAUAUCUCAACUAAACCACCCCAAACCCUAUCCUUCGUCUUCGUCCUGUAUUUUAUAAAAGAAAGCUUCUUAAUUUUUGGUUUGCUUUGAGUAUUCCCAAUUGGUUUGUUCAAUUUUGCUGUUUAGGUUAAAAUUAUAUGGUUCAGAUUAGAAAUUAGGUUUUGGUUUGAUGGGUUUUCUAUUGAUUGGUUGUAUGUUGCCUUUGGUUUAAAUUGCAGGUUGCAAACUUGUGUUUGUUUGCUGCCAAUCCUAAAGGAUCGAUUGGCUGAGAUUGUUGAGGAGGAGUUGAUACCAAUCAGUUGCAGAAACAAUGGCACGGAGAAAUUUCUAAACAAUUAUGCGGACCAUAGGCCCACUCCUCUCCAAGUCCCUCUUCAAUCAGAUGGUCUCACUUCGACUUUAGUGGUCCAACUUCUGGGAGCACAACUUGUGUUGCAAUUAUUAGAAACAACCAACUUGUUGUUGCCAAUGCUGGUGAUUCUCGUUGUGUCAUAUUGAGGAAGGGUCAGAUAGAAGAUCAAAGAUGUGCUAAAUUCACACUCCAUUUUGUCCGGGUAUGGAUUGGGCGUUUUAAUUUAGCUUUAUUGUGCAUAGUAGGUAUCAAUCACUGCAUUAGCCUUGCAAAUUAUCGAGCUACUAAUGUACAAUGCUCAUUCUUAACUUCCUAAGUAGAUUGCUGCAAUAGUUGUGGAUUAUUUGGUUUAACUUUUGUUACUUACUACUAGACCAAAUUGGUAUCUGUUAAUGUCUAAAAGUUCAGCGGUAGCUAAACCUUUGUUGACGCUGGUCCGAUGGGCGGACCGAUACUUGUGAUGUUCUCAAAGCUUCCGCUACCUGUCAAGUAAAAUACAAAGGGCGUCAGAGGGAGACCGCGCUGGGCGGUCUUCAACUCUCUGAUGCCUAAGUUAGUCAAUGUAUUUAUGUUGACAAAGUAACAGUAGGUAAGUAUUAAAUGCGUAAUUAAUGAAGAGAGAAAAGAGAACCUUUUAUAGGUGAGGGAAGAGCUGAGCUUCUCCAUGUUUUCGAUGUGGGACUGAUGUGCUUCAGUCCCCAGCUUCUGUAGCUUCUGCCGCUGUCUUGGCGCGGCGCAUCAGGGGUAAUCUGGGGGUGAGCCGGGGCUCAAGCGGUAGCCCGCCUGGCUGUGUUUCCGUAGGUCACACCUUUGGUGGGAGUUGGUACCGCUGGCGGUAGCAUGAGCGUGGCUCAUUAUAGCUAAUUAUGCUUGCAAAUGUCUAUCUUAUGGAAAGGGUGAUGCUGCAACUUAAGCUUGGGAAAAUCACUGCUACUUGAAAGAAUAUUGAAAGAGUUCGUAUGUUCACUAGUCUUUUUUGUUGAAGGUUGCAGCUACACUGACUUCUGAAGAAGAAUAUUUAGUUUUUUUUUUUUUUUAAUCUUUUAGUUCUAGAGUGUAAUACUUGAACUCACUGUAUGUAUCUUUUAAAUACAAAUUUUAGUUUUGUUGUUAAAAUUAUAAAUCGU
Long non-coding RNA from Rosa rugosa (rugosa rose), 1566 nucleotides. RefSeq lists it as uncharacterized. Lineage: Eukaryota; Viridiplantae; Streptophyta; Magnoliopsida; Rosales; Rosaceae. The transcript has 4 exons. The record is from RefSeq and is a predicted model, not a curated record.